Molecule: RNA transcript, 1932 nt
Organism: Lolium rigidum
Lineage: Eukaryota; Viridiplantae; Streptophyta; Magnoliopsida; Poales; Poaceae
Exons: 5
Source: RefSeq, a predicted model, not a curated record
CCUGCCUGGCUCCCGUCUCCUCCUCCUCCUCUGCUCACCUCCCCGCAGAACAGAAAAUGAUAGUCUGAAAGCGGCCUCUCCCGAUGCAAGCGUCCGCGCGCUUCUGCUCCUCCUCUGCGUCCUCCAAGAAGGUCUUUGCUGACAUUUCUGACGCCGUUGUACGGUCAUCGUAUCGGCCUCUCUGUGGGAAGGCACACCUGUCUUCUCUGUCUGGUGAGGAUCCACCGAGAGUUCAGAAGAGAGUAUCAAAACAAGAAAGAAGGGCCAGGGUGGAGGAAUUUGUUGAAAAGUAAGGCAAUUGUCAGCCAGACAGCAUUUCUGAUUGUAUUCUUGUGGUCAGCAUGUUUUACAGUUUGAUUUUGAUGCCUUUAUAGCUGUAUGUAUUAGAGUCUUGUCAUGUUUUAAUCUUGCAUGAAGGUGGAACCGUCUUGUAGAUUCGCGUGGUAUACUAGCAAUUUAUGAACACCCGAGCCAAUUGAUCAACUCUUUUCGGAAUCAGAUGUGUGUUUGACACCGCUGGAGUUACAGGGCAUCACAUGAAGGGAAAUUUCCAUCUGCUACAUCUGUUCGUCAGCAGGUUGGAGGGUCCUACUACAUAUCGUGGGAAUUACUCCAGGAAUUGGAGUAUAAUUCAAGACUAAAAUGUGAUGUGAGAGAUGCCUCUUUCAACUCAAGGAACUUUGAGGGAAGAUAUGGGCUAAACAACAUUGACCUCUCAACCAAAGAUGCUAGGACCAAAGAAGAACUGGUUGUACCUGAAGUCCAGAAGAGAGUAACAAAGCAAGAAAGAAGGAUCAGGGUAGAGGAAUUUGUUGAAAAGUAAGGCAACUCAGCGAGACAGCAUUUCUUAUUGAAUUAUUGUGAUCGCCAUUUGUACUCUCUGUUUGCACUUCUUUUUCGCUAAUUAUAAUCUUGGAUGAAGGUGGAACAACCUAACAGAUUUAGUUCUGUAGAAUUACGUUAUACUAUAUUUACAGGUUUACUUGCAAUGUCUGAUGGCCGAGAGCCAAUUUAUCACCUUUGUUCAGAAUCAGAUGUAAGUUUCGCACUGCCGGAGAUGGUGGUUGAUUAGAAAAAAAAGUCAUUUUCUUAUUCACAUGACCGGUGGCAAAGGUUAAAGAAACAUGCAUUAAGUAGCCAGUGAAUGACUCACAAACUCAGCUAGGGUCCCAUCAAACUGCUGGUUUUAGCUUAUGAAACCUGAAGAGUGAGUGAUUACGGGAGUCUUGUGAUUUAUGAGAUUAAUCUGAUCGACCACACUUUACAAUUGGUCUUUGAUGAAAAUCAAGUCUUGGCUUCAAAACAACCCUUGUCAAAUUUAUAUGGCAAAAUUACUGAUUAUCGAUGUUACCAGCUGGAUAUAGCCAUAUAUAAAUGUGCUUCUAGGAAUCAGAGUACUUGAUCAAUUGCUGAACUGUAUAUAUCUUUGUGCUUGUAAAUUAUGCCUGGCUCUACAACUUAACGCAGUUACAGGGCAUCGCAUGACGGAAAGUUUCCAUGCGCAACACAUGUUCGUCAGCAUGUUGGAGGUUCCUACUACAUAGUGCUCGCAUUACUCCAGGAAUUGGUGUACAAUUCAAGACUGGAGAGUGAUGUCAGAAACGCCUCUUUCAACUCAGCAUCCGUGAAGGAAAAACAUGGGUUAAACAAUAUUGAUUUCUCCACAAGAGAAAGAGAUGCUAUUCUCAGCUUUGAGGGCAUAAAGGAAGAAAUGCCGUAAACAUGCACAUGAAGGCUCAACUGGGUCAAAUCUUUGGGGAAGCCUGAAAUCCUUUGCUGAUGAACUCAGGCUCUUCUGGAACAAUCUGUAAAUUCUUAUGGUCUGCUAGAUGCAACUAAGUAUAGGAUUCACAUUGUUUCAUUAUUCUUUUCAUGGACAUGGAACACAAAUGUAAAGUUCUCCAUGAGGACCACCGCUUCAACAUCAAAUUA